AGCGAACGCUGGCGGCAGGCUUAACACAUGCAAGUCGAGCGGGCGUAGCAAUACGUCAGCGGCAGACGGGUGAGUAACGCGUGGGAACGUACCUUUUGGUUCGGAACAACACAGGGAAACUUGUGCUAAUACCGGAUAAGCCCUUACGGGGAAAGACUUAUCGCCGAAAGAUCGGCCCGCGUCUGAUUAGCUAGUUGGUGAGGUAACGGCUCACCAAGGCGACGAUCAGUAGCUGGUCUGAGAGGAUGAUCAGCCACAUUGGGACUGAGACACGGCCCAAACUCCUACGGGAGGCAGCAGUGGGGAAUAUUGGACAAUGGGCGCAAGCCUGAUCCAGCCAUGCCGCGUGAGUGAUGAAGGCCCUAGGGUUGUAAAGCUCUUUUGUGCGGGAAGAUAAUGACGGUACCGCAAGAAUAAGCCCCGGCUAACUUCGUGCCAGCAGCCGCGGUAAU
Molecule: ribosomal RNA, 452 nt
Filed under: uncultured bacterium
Lineage: Bacteria
Description: bacterial SSU rRNA
Rfam family: Bacterial small subunit ribosomal RNA
Source: RNAcentral